GAUGAACGCUGGCGGCGUGCCUAAUACAUGCAAGUCGAACGAAACUUCUUUAUCACCGAGUGCUUGCACUCACCGAUAAAGAGUUGAGUGGCGAACGGGUGAGUAACACGUGGGCAACCUGCCCAAAAGAGGGGGAUAACACUUGGAAACAGGUGCUAAUACCGCAUAACCAUAGUUACCGCAUGGUAACUAUGUAAAAGGUGGCUAUACUACCGCUUUUGGAUGGGCCCGCGGCGCAUUAGCUAGUUGGUAGGGUAAAGGCUUACCAAGGCAAUGAUGCGUAGCCGAAUUGAGAGGUUGAUCGGCCACAUUGGGACUGAGACACGGCCCAAACUCCUACGGGAGGCAGCAGUAGGGAAUCUUCCACAGUGGGCGAAAGCCUGAUGGAGCAACGCCGCGUGGGUGAAGAAGGUCUUCGGAUCGUAAAACCCUGUUGUUAGAGAAGAAAGUGCGUGAGAGUAACUGUUCACGUUUCGACGGUAUCAACCAGAAAGCCACGGCUAACUACGUG
Molecule: ribosomal RNA, 511 nt
Filed under: uncultured bacterium
Lineage: Bacteria
Description: partial 16S ribosomal RNA
Rfam family: Bacterial small subunit ribosomal RNA
Source: RNAcentral